GUAGGUGAACCUGCGGAAGGAUCAUUAUUGAAUAAACCUGAUGUAGUUGUAGCUGGCUCCUAGGAGCAUGUGCACGCUCGUCACUUUUAUCUUUCCACCUGUGCACCCAUUGUAGGCCUGGAUAACCCUCGCUUGGUUUCAAGCGGACGCGAGAAUUGCUGCUGCUCUUUCUGCAAGGAAAGGCCGGCUUUUCUCGAAUUUCCAGGUCUAUGUUUUCUUACAUACCCCAAUUGAAUGUUACCGAAUGUUA
This 250-nucleotide unclassified non-coding RNA is filed under the name plant metagenome. RNAcentral describes it as "partial contains small subunit ribosomal RNA, internal transcribed spacer 1, and 5.8S ribosomal RNA". The record is from RNAcentral.